UGAAUGUGUAAUGCACCUGGGGCUGAAUUCGGCAGGUAUAGUGUGCCUCAAGGCUGGCAGAGGAGAUAGACAUCAGUCUGGCUGGUAUCCUGUGCUACAGAGAGGUGUGCUUUACUGGAAAUCUGGAAACACAACAACAAAUCAAACACUGCGAUUCAUCUAAAGCGCCACAGCAAAACCAAGAACACAUCAGCAAAAGUAAUAACAGAAAAUCAAAAGCCAGCAAAUCAGAUAACACAGCAGCAAGUAAGACAAAACAACAGCAAAUCAAAAUCGCAGAAAAACAAAGAAACAGGAGAGGCUGCUACCACAUCUGGCAGCUCUGCCAGGUGCUCGUGCCCACACGACGCUCUGGAAUGGAGGAAACCUUGCCCAGCCUGCCAGCUCCACCUGAAGCUUUGGACCUUGUUCAGCACAGAGCCCCAGCCAUAAACAAACUCUCAUUUACCACUUUAAUCGCCAGACCUGGUGUUUUGAGUUUUACAUAAUGGGUUUAAGUAAUGCUUCUUGUUUUCUGCACCAUUUAAGUGAAAGCCAAGCAGCGCUCCCAGAGAAUGGCAGCAGGCUUAGGCAUGAAUGGAUGUUCUCCACAUUCCUGCCAUUAUGACGAUGCUGCAUUUUGGAUGGUGACGAGCGUGAAUCUUAAAGGCUGUGGUAGACCAGAAGGAAGGAGGAGGGAACGGGAAAGAUGAAUGGCCAGUGCAGCUAAAAGGCAUUUGCUUUUUCUCUGGCCUUCUUUCUCCCAGCUGUUUUUCAUUGCUCCUGUCAGAGAUGUCGUUUGUGUUUGAGGUUGAAGGCUGUGGGG
Ictalurus punctatus (channel catfish) is the source of this 805-nucleotide long non-coding RNA. NCBI's taxonomy places the organism in Eukaryota, Metazoa, Chordata, Actinopteri, Siluriformes, Ictaluridae. The record is from Ensembl.